Molecule: non-coding RNA, 192 nt
Filed under: Candidatus Omnitrophota bacterium
Lineage: Bacteria; Pseudomonadati; Candidatus Omnitrophota
Description: Candidatus Omnitrophica bacterium 6S RNA
Rfam family: 6S / SsrS RNA
About the family: E. coli 6S RNA was the first non coding RNA to be sequenced, but its function was unknown until recently. It consists of 184 nucleotides that fold into an extended hairpin structure with a large single-stranded internal bulge.
Source: RNAcentral
GAUUCCCUGCUGUGCGCGUGUUGAGUUGAUAAGUUUUGAGCCAACACUAUUGAAAAGGGAACUUAAACUUUGAUGUGGCUUGCAGGCCCUUGACAUCUUUGAUGUCAAGGGAAGCAAAAAGCAUCGAAGAGAGUGCCCACCUGUAAAACAGGGUUCAAAAUUGUCACCUCUCACGGCAUCUGCGGGGAUUUU